This 1967-nucleotide ribosomal RNA is filed under the name Saprospiraceae bacterium. RNAcentral's name for it is "partial 23S ribosomal RNA". It matches the Rfam family "Bacterial large subunit ribosomal RNA", at positions 952 to 2925 of the family's 2925-position model. Lineage: Bacteria; Pseudomonadati; Bacteroidota; Saprospiria; Saprospirales; Saprospiraceae. The record is from RNAcentral.
AACUCCGAAUGCCAUGACAUUGCAGCGGCAGUGAGGCUAUGGGUGCUAAGGUCCGUAGCCAAGAGGGAAACAACCCAGACCAUCAAUUAAGGUCCCAAAGUAUAUACUAAGUUGAAUGAACGAGGUGGGAAUGCUAAGACAGCUAGGAUGUUGGCUUGGAAGCAGCCAUUCAUUUAAAGAGUGCGUAACAGCUCACUAGUCGAGCGUUCCUGCGCGGAAAAUAAUCGGGCAUCAAGUAUAUCACCGAAAUUAUGGAUUGUACGUAAGUACAGUGGUAGGGGAGCAUUCUAAUUGCGUUGAAGUUGUACCGUGAGGUAUGGUGGAGCGGUUAGAAAAGAAAAUGUAGGCAUGAGUAACGAUAAAAUAGGUGAGAAACCUAUUCGCCGUAAGACUAAGGGUUCCUAGAUCUAUGCUAAUCAGAUCAGGGUUAGUCGGCACCUAAGGUGUACCCGAGAGGGGAAGCCGAUGGAAAACAGGUUAAUAUUCCUGUACUUGUUUAUACUGCGAUGGGGUGACGGAGAAGCGUAAGACCUGCCAUGUGACGGAAUACAUGGUUGAAGUGCGUAGGCGUUGAUUCAGUAGGUAAAUCCGCUGAUGAGCAGAAACACGAUAGUAUUUAAUCUUGCUUGCAAGAUUGAAAUAAUGGUCCCAAGCAUACUUCCAAGAAAAACCCCUAAGCUUCAGGUAUAAACAAGCCGUACCGUAAACCGACACAGGUAGUCGAGGAGAGUAUCCUAAGGCGCUCGAGUGAUUCAUGGCUAAGGAACUAGGCAAAAUGGUCUCGUAACUUCGGGAGAAGAGACGCUCUAAUUAAAUUUAGAGCCGCAGUGAAGAGGCCCAGGCGACUGUUUAGCAAAAACACAGGACUCUGCAAAAUCGUAAGAUGAAGUAUAGGGUCUGACACCUGCCCGGUGCUGGAAGGUUAAGGAAGGUUGUUAGUCUUCGGACAAAGCAAUUGACUGAAGCCCCAGUAAACGGCGGCCGUAACUAUAACGGUCCUAAGGUAGCGAAAUUCCUUGUCGGGUAAGUUCCGACCUGCACGAAUGGUGUAACGAUCUGGGCACUGUCUCAGCCAUGAGCUCGGUGAAAUUGAAGUAUCGGUGAAGAUGCCGGUUACCCGCAAUGGGACGAAAAGACCCCGUGAACCUUUACUACAGCUUCACAUUGGGUUUGAAUAUAAGAUGUGUAGGAUAGGUGGGAGACUAUGAAGCGUGUACGCCAGUGCAUGUGGAGUCGUCCUUGAAAUACCACCCUUCUUAUAUUUAGAUUCUAACUCCGUCGAAAACGGAGGACAUUGUGUGGUGGGUAGUUUGACUGGGGUGGUCGCCUCCUAAAGAGUAACGGAGGCUCGCAAAGGUACCCUCAGCAUGGUCGGUAAUCAUGCGCAGAGCGUAUUAGUACAAGGGUGCUUGACUGGGAGACUGACAGGUCGAUCAGGUAGGAAACUAGGCUAAAGUGAUCCGGUGGUUCCGUAUGGAAGGGCCAUCGCUCAAAGGAUAAAAGGUACUCCGGGGAUAACAGGCUGAUCUCCCCCAAGAGCUCAUAUCGACGGGGAGGUUUGGCACCUCGAUGUCGGCUCGUCACAUCCUGGGGCUGGAGAAGGUCCCAAGGGUUGGGCUGUUCGCCCAUUAAAGUGGCACGCGAGCUGGGUUCAGAACGUCGCAAGACAGUUCGGUCUCUAUCUAUUGUGGGCGUUGGAAUAUUGAAGAGCUCUGACACUAGUACGAGAGGACCGUGUUGGACGAACCUCUAGUGUACCUGUUGUGACGCCAGUUGCAUCGCAGGGUAGCUAUGUUCGGAAUGGAUAAGCACUGAAAGCAUCUAAGUGCGAAGCCAUCUCUAAGAUGAGUAUUCCAUGGAAGUAAUUCCUGAAGGGUCGUAGAAGAUUACUACGUUGAUAGGCUAUAGGUGGAAGUGCAGUGAUGUAUGGAGCCAAGUAGUACUAAUUACCCGACAGCUUCCUUUUU